RNAcentral lists this ribosomal RNA (838 nucleotides) under uncultured bacterium. RNAcentral's name for it is "bacterial SSU rRNA". It matches the Rfam family "Bacterial small subunit ribosomal RNA", at positions 524 to 1381 of the family's 1533-position model. The record is from RNAcentral.
UACGAGGGAUGCAAGCGUUAUCCGGAAUUAUUGGGCGUAAAGCGUUUGUAGGCGGGCGAGUGUGUUUAAUGUUAAAUCUUAAAGCUCAACUUUGAAAUUGCGUUAAAAACUGCUUGUCUUGAGUAUGGUAGGGGUAAAGGGAAUUCCCAGUGUAGCGGUGAAAUGCGUAGAUAUUGGGAAGAACACUAAACAGCGAAGGCACUUUACUAGGCUAAUACUGACGCUGAGAAACGAAAGGUAAGGUAGCGAAACGGAUUAGAUACCCGUGUAGUCUUACCCGUAAACUAUGGACACUAAACGGUAAAUUUUUAAUUUACUGUUAAAGCUAACGCGUUAAGUGUCCCGCCUGGGGAGUAUGCUUGCAAAAGUGAAACUCAAAGGAAUUGACGGGGGCCCGCACAAGCGGUGGAGCAUGUGGUUUAAUUCGACGGUACACGAAGAACCUUACCAGGAUUUGACAUGCUAGAUAGUUGCUUGAAAGAGUAACGUGCCGUAAGGAAUCUAGACACAGGUGGUGCAUGGCUGUCGUCAGUUCGUGUUGUGAAAUGUUGGGUUAAGUCCCGCAACGAACGCAACCCUUGUCUUUAGUUAUUUUCUAAAGAGACUGCCUGUAAUAAACAGGAGGAAGGUAAGGAUGAGGUCAAGUCAUCAUGCCCCUUAUGUCCUGGGCUACACACGUGCUACAAUGGGAAAGACAAUGAGCUGCAAAUCUGUAAAUUUAAGCAAAUCUCUUAAACUUUCUCGUAGUUCGGAUUGUGGGCUGCAACUCGCCCACAUGAAGUUGGAAUCGCUAGUAAUCGCCAGUCAGCUAUACGGCGGUGAAUCCGUUCCCGGGCCU